RNAcentral lists this ribosomal RNA (458 nucleotides) under uncultured Acidovorax sp. Its description in RNAcentral is "bacterial SSU rRNA". It matches the Rfam family "Bacterial small subunit ribosomal RNA", at positions 923 to 1382 of the family's 1533-position model. Lineage: Bacteria; Pseudomonadati; Pseudomonadota; Betaproteobacteria; Burkholderiales; Comamonadaceae. The record is from RNAcentral.
GCACAAGCGGUGGAUGAUGUGGUUUAAUUCGAUGCAACGCGAAAACCUUACCCACCUUUGACAUGUACGGAAUCCUUUAGAGAUAGAGGAGUGCUCGAAAGAGAACCGUAACACAGGUGCUGCAUGGCUGUCGUCAGCUCGUGUCGUGAGAUGUUGGGUUAAGUCCCGCAACGAGCGCAACCCUUGUCAUUAGUUGCUACAUUCAGUUGGGCACUCUAAUGAGACUGCCGGUGACAAACCGGAGGAAGGUGGGGAUGACGUCAAGUCCUCAUGGCCCUUAUAGGUGGGGCUACACACGUCAUACAAUGGCUGGUACAAAGGGUUGCCAACCCGCGAGGGGGAGCCAAUCCCAUAAAGCCAGUCGUAGUCCGGAUCGUAGUCUGCAACUCGACUACGUGAAGUCGGAAUCGCUAGUAAUCGUGGAUCAGAAUGUCACGGUGAAUACGUUCCCGGGUCUU